Molecule: ribosomal RNA, 253 nt
Filed under: uncultured bacterium
Lineage: Bacteria
Description: partial 16S ribosomal RNA
Rfam family: Bacterial small subunit ribosomal RNA
Source: RNAcentral
UACGGAGGGUGCAAACGUUGCUCGGAAUCAUUGGGCGUAAAGCGCACGUAGGCGGCUCGUUAAGUCGGAUGUGAAAGCCCUGGGCUCAACCCAGGAAGUGCAUACGAAACUGGCGAGCUUGAGUAUGGAAGAGGGUCGCGGAAUUCCCGGUGUAGAGGUGAAAUUCGUAGAUAUCGGGAGGAACACCAGUGGCGAAGGCGGCGACCUGGGCCAAUACUGACGCUGAGGUGCGAAAGCGUGGGGAGCGAACAGG